RNAcentral lists this ribosomal RNA (421 nucleotides) under uncultured bacterium. RNAcentral's name for it is "partial 16S ribosomal RNA". It matches the Rfam family "Bacterial small subunit ribosomal RNA", at positions 360 to 773 of the family's 1533-position model. The record is from RNAcentral.
AAUAUAUGAGAAUGUGGGCAACACUGAUACCGCGAUGCCGCGUGUGUGAAGAAGGUCUUCGGAUUGUAUAGAACUCUAUGUGGGGAGGAAGGGCUUGCGGUUAAUCCCCUGAAGUUUUGAGGUCACCAACAGAUUAAGCACCUGCUAACUCUGUGCCAGCCGCCGCGGUAAGACAGAGGGUGCAAGCGUUAAUCGGGAUUACUGGGCGUAAAGAGGGCGUAGGUGGUUCAGUAAGAUGGGGGUGAAAUCCCCGGGCUUACACUGGGAACUGCUUUAAUAACUGCUGAGGUAGAGUACGGUAGAGGGUAAUGGAAUUUCCGGUGUAGCGGUGAAAUGCGUAGAUAUAGGAAGGAACACCAGUGGCGAAGGCGACUACCUGGACUGAUACUGACACUGAGGUGCGAAAGCGUGGGGAGCAAAC